RNAcentral lists this transfer RNA (73 nucleotides) under Actinomycetota bacterium. Its description in RNAcentral is "tRNA-Val". It matches the Rfam family "tRNA". Rfam says of the family: Transfer RNA (tRNA) molecules are approximately 80 nucleotides in length. Their secondary structure includes four short double-helical elements and three loops (D, anti-codon, and T loops). The record is from RNAcentral. RNAcentral also lists the same sequence under 1 other name. Lineage: Bacteria; Bacillati; Actinomycetota.
GGGCGGUUAGCUCAGUUGGGAGAGCGCCUCGUUUACACCGAGGAGGUCGCUGGUUCGAGCCCAGUACCGCCCA